CCUACGGGAGGCAGCAGUGAGGAAUAUUGGUCAAUGGGCGGGAGCCUGAACCAGCCAAGUCGCGUGAGGGAAGACGGUCCUAUGGAUUGUAAACCUCUUUAGUCGGGGAGCAAUGCCGGGCCCGUGUGCCCGGAGGGAGUGUACCCGCAGAAUAAGCAUCGGCUAACUCCGUGCCAGCAGCCGCGGUAAUACGGAGGAUGCGAGCGUUAUCGGGAUUUAUUGGGUUUAAAGGGUGCGCAGGCGGCGUGCCAAGUCAGCGGUAAAAUUUCGGGGCUCAACCCCGGCCGGCCGUUGAAACUGGCGUGCUAGAGUGGGAGAGAAGUAUGCGGAAUUCGUGGUGUAGCGGUGAAAUGCAUAGAUAUCACGAAGAACCCCGAUUGCGAAGGCAGCAUACCGGCUCCAAACUGACGCUGAGGCACGAAAGCGUGGGUAUCGAACAGGAUUAGAUACCCGGGUAGUC
Molecule: ribosomal RNA, 460 nt
Filed under: uncultured bacterium
Lineage: Bacteria
Description: partial 16S ribosomal RNA
Rfam family: Bacterial small subunit ribosomal RNA
Source: RNAcentral